This is a small nucleolar RNA of Astyanax mexicanus (Mexican tetra), 98 nucleotides long. The record is from Ensembl. Lineage: Eukaryota; Metazoa; Chordata; Actinopteri; Characiformes; Acestrorhamphidae.
UUGCGAUGAUGAGCAUCGAUUAUGUCUGACCUGGUAUUGUGUCUCCUCCGGGAACAGCUCUGACCAGGGCCUGAGGACCUAAUCUUCUCUCUGAGCAA